GGUAAUUAACAUUUUUAAGCAAAGCUAGAUGGACUCACUGGCUACAAGAAAUAGACAAUAAUUUGGAUAAAGGCAAGGCUAAGGAAGGGAUCUCGAGUGAUAGAAAAAGAGACGAAAAGGGACAAUAAGGGUACCAUAAAAGUAAUGGAAAUUUUUAAUUGGACAAACCAUUCAACGUAAUUCCCCCCCACGGUAACUUGGUCCAUAAAUUUCAUAAAAUCUAAUCACUCCUUCCAACCUGUCCUUCCCAUUCAUCUAAAUUCCCUUUGACUCCUUAACAAAACAACCCGAUUAUUUGCUUACAUGAUCAAUCAUCAUUUAUAUUCCCUCUCUUUUUCUGUGUACAAAACACCUUAGAUUCUCUUCUAAUUCCACCCUAAGAGAAACCUGAAAUUUAUCACCUACUGCACAGCCUAAUAUCUUCCAUUGUCAUUGUAGCGUUUAGGCUUAGAGGUAGAUGACAUCCAAAUGAAAUACUUUAAAAGUACAUAAAGUACAGCACUUGGAAAUCACCAAUCUAAGAUGUGAUAAGAUCUCUACUUCACCCCUAGUAAGCACAGAAAUACUGAGAAAUUAAAAAGAAACUGUAAUAAGAACACAAGAAGAAGAAAAUAUUACGUAUUGUUGAUGAACUUACUUUGAGUCAAUCACGAAUUCAACACAUCUCAUCUAACCAUUUAACUUUGUUGGCAUUUCAAACAUGAUGAACAUUUCAAUUCAACUCUUUUGUCUCUUGAGUACUGUAAGCUUUAGACUGAUGAUUAUGUAUUCAAUCCUCUUCAAGGGAAUUCUAUGGUCUUGCAUGAAAGGGUUUGGUAGGAAUUCUUUCUUUUUCUCCAUUAAGACUUGAGUUUAGACAUACAAAAGCUCCUAUCUCAGUUGUAAAUAAUAAACACCUCUAACAGAGUCCAACUUGAGCCUAGAACCGAAAAAUAACUAAAAGGUUCUCACCUGCAAUUUGAUGUACUCCUUUUCUUUCUUCUUCAUCUCAUGUAUUUGUUGAGUUCUUACUUGCUUUGCACACAAACAGAAAACAACAUUAGUACUAAAAUUAUUACAUAGAAACUAGUAUCUAUCUCACAGCAUCCAACUACCAUAACCUGAUUGCCAAUAACCCUUCAUCUGGAGUUCAACAUUUUCCUACUGUAUUGUUGUCAAUUUGAGCUUUAAAAGCAGCCUUACCUUUGGCUUCCUGUGGAAAAGAACUUCCUUGUUCAAUGUUAAAUAGAGAGAAAUCAUAGAAUUUAGACAAGUCUCGAGAUUGUACUAUUCGUGUAACUGUUGCAAUCUCCCUAUCUUUAACUUGUACUACCGACUUUAGCCUCUCAACUUUGGUCUCCAACCUUGAUAUAUCUUAAUGUAGCCUGCCACAAGAAAAUAAAGGUGACUGAAUACAGGGAACCAUGGUUGUGUGAAGGAAUAUUAAAAAGCUUUGCAACAUUAUUAACCUGAAAGUGAACUACAUUUAUUCCAUAUCUUAAACCAAUCUCCCAUAACAAGAAAUGAACCAAACAUUAGAAACUAGUAGCUGGAUUUCAACACUACCGAAAGACAUAAUCUCACGAAGAUCACUUUUGGCAAUAAAAUCGAAUCUUUACACGCAUUCCACCAUUCUCAUCAAAUGUAUGAAUUCAAAUCUCCUCUUAAUUCCAAUUAUUUGAUAAGCGAGAAACAAAAUGAGAUCAUUAAGUAACACAAAUUCACGAAAAAUCAAACAUAAUAGAUCAUUAAAUUGAAAUGUGACGGUAGACUUGACUAAGCCUGAUCCUCUUAGCUCAGAAGACAAGGACGGGUCGUGUUAUGAGAAAUGUCAAGGUAGACUGAAAUCUCACUGUAAGUCACUAGUCAAAUAAACCAACAGUUUUAAAACAAAGCAAAACAAUAACAAAAACCCACAAAGAUGUUGUAACGACAGUAAGACAUAUUGGUUAUGAUAAACAUAUACUACUAUGAGUUAGGAAGAUCAUGGAUCCAGCCAAAAUUAUAGAUGAAUCAGUGAUAAUCAAAAGUUGAAAUCAGUGAUAUCGAAUAUUUCUUUAACCCAAUAUGUUUAAGGUUGCAUUUUGUUGUUUCUCACACACAUCUUGUGACUAUGAUCAAAGCGUUGAAAGUGCAAGAAUAUAAGUUAUAGAAUAGAUAGAUUCAAAUAUAUUAGCAAUAUUUUUGCUGGGUACAUUUCAGAUUUUGGAAGGUAAGAAAUUAUAUGGAAUGAUAAAUCAAAUAUAGUUCAGAGACAUGGCACCUUUUCCUCACGUAGCUCCACUAAAACAAAGUGGUAAAGGGGAGAAAGCUAAAAGUGGUAAAUGCCUUCUUCGCUAAAAUGUGGCAAAUGCCUUCUUCUUUCAAACAUGAAGAGAUUGAUCACAAAGUCAAGUUGAAAGCUAAAAAAACUAAAGCCUCUAAUUGGCAGAAAAUUUUGUUUCACAAAAUUAUGCUUAUGAAAAUUACUUAUGACUAAACUUCUUUGUAACAAUUGAUAAAAAUGUUCUUGAAAACUACUUUUUCUUUCCUAGUCUUUUAAACAGAAGAAACAAACAAAACUAAAAGCAAAAUUAUUAGAAAAUGUGCCUAAAUGGACAAAUAGUCAGUAGGAAGAAGAGGUGUUGCAAUAUAUUAGGUUAAAAUGUUGAACUAUGAUGCUAACUAGAAGAGAGCAGACCACCGCACCCUGAUGAAAGUCACAUGGGAUGAGACAUUGUUCUUGGUCAGAUUGUAUCUUCUUCAAAAUCUUGAAGCAAAAGCUCCAAGCUCAUCGUAGAUUGAUGGGAUUGAUUGAGAUUUACUUAUGCAUCUGUAGGCCAUUUGCUUUUGGAAAGGAAAUGGGUCGAAAACAUUGAAGGGAAAGUGAGUUAUCAUGCUCUCAUUGUUUCACAUGUGAUACAACUGGUUAGUUCGCAGUUUCGCAGUUAAAUAAUCUUAGUAGACUAAAUUGUUCAAUCAUGAGGAGUCUACACCAUAGAACCGAAACGAUAUGUCGUCAGAAUGUCAUUAUAACCGUAUGGAUUCACUAAUCUACCAAACAAUAAUGCAGGCAAUCGCUCAAAACAUCAACGAGAAGCCGCAAUUAAACCUGAUCAAUGACAUUGUGUGCAUAUUUCUAAUGACUCACAUCAUCAAUUAAAAAAGGAGAAUAAUGCCAAUAGUUUAUGAUCUAUAAUUUCUUUGACCUUCUACUGGGAACAUCUGGGAUAUCCACGUCCCUGAAAAGAAACGCAAAGUUCAGCAUUUGAGUAGGAGAAAAUGUUCAAGUUUGUAGGACUUGCUCGUGCUCACCGUGAUUGACAAUGCAACCGGUACUCUCUGACUGCAGAAACCGGUCACUCUUGCUAGAACGCUGGAAAAACUGCACGCUCAAAAUUUAUGACAACUACCAGAUACCAUUUAAAUGAUCAUAUACUGUGAACAGCGGUGCCUAAAUCAUUGAGCUAUUCCUUGAACAGUGAUCGCAUGAGCUUUUAAUGCACUAUAAGCUUUGACCAAUGAUUGCUUUCAUCGUUUUACAACCGAUUUGUAUGUAAACUCAUGCAUUGCAGCUCAGUAAAUAGUCUUUGCAUAUAAAAAUAAAAAAUCAAUCAUAAAGCAUGGAGAACUCGGUGCAGAGCAAGUGCCAUAGUUUAAGAGAGAGUAAUCCAAUCUUGACGACUCCUGACAUUACCAAGGAGUUUAGAAAAUUUACCUCCAACUCAUCAUUACUUAUCGAACCCGGCAGUAAAAAAUCUAAACUCUGAAAUAUUUAUCUCAUCAAAAAAAGCUACGAAAGAGUCAUGUAUGAAAAUCCCCCAGAAAUCGAGGUUCACAUAUAUAAAAGGAGGGGCAGAUAACGACAAUAGAACAGUAACAAUUAAUGACCUUUGAGGGAAUGAUCGGAAAGGGAUCAUUCUGAGUGGGGCACCAUCGUCGCUCUAGUGAAUGAAAGAACUUGAUGUAAGGAGGUAUAUCAAAUCUACGGUCUUUUCAGGAUUGGGUAGGUAGGUUCUUAUUUUCAUUUAUGUCCAAGUCGGCUGCCCAAUUGUCAACCUGGGGAGGAUAUCCAGCAUCCGAUCACCAAAAGGAAGCGUGGGUAUGUUCAACUUUACCUAUUCUUAUCCGCUUCGGUUAUUUUGGAUCCAUUGUGACUAGUGUAAUCUUUUGGGCAUUCAUAACAUAAAUGCCCAUAAGUUUAGCAGCAGUCGUUGCUCCUACUGUUUUGCUCAUUAACCCUGUGUGUGGAAAUAUUUGUGUGUGUUUAGUAUGAGUCGCUAUAGCAUCCUUGGUAUCAGGGCCAUCCACACUGGGGUGGUGAACACGUCUAAUGGCCUUCACCGCGACAAAUUGAGAGAUAAACGGGUAGAUGUGAACGCCGCGAGAAAAGAAAAUAUGUCGAGCUUUCAACACCGGAACAUGAUCGAUCUUACUAGAGUUGAAGAAAUCGAUGAAUCGAACGGCGGAUGAAAUGCGAGAAUAGGCCACAUUGUACACAAAGAAGAGAAGAGUUCGAGGGAACUGAACCGAUGGCUCGAUGUUCAAACUUAAAGGAAGAGUGUGAGAGUGAGUGCGAUUGCGAUGAGAACAACCAUUGCGAAGCCAAGUGCUACGGUGAACACAGACCGUAGCUAAGGGUCACAAGAAGGCUUGAAAUGUCAAUGUUCAUCGAAGGUUGAAUCCUCGAAUCCUGGGCAUACCGUGCUAAAGCAUUUCUUUCCCUUGGGCGAAAUUAAUUAACCUACUUGAAGCAGAGAAAGUCUAUAGAGUGAACCUAUUGACUUAAGGUUUCGGAUAUGGAAGAAGAAGUAGGAUUGAGAUAAUUAGGUGGAGCGCACCAUUCGAAAGAAGGUUGAAUCCUGGGAGGACUUGGAAAGUAAGGAUUGUUCGAAUUGAUUUUUUCAAUGACACGGGACACGAAGAAGCUUCAGGGGCAUUUUGCACUAUCACUCCGUAUCAAGCAAUUGUUUAAGGAUCUUUAUAGUGACAUCAUAUGCACAUAAGGAAAUUCGUUUAGCUUAAUUCAGCUCCACUGCCCGACAGUGGCAGUUAAAAUAGUACUGCCAAGGGUACGCAAUAUUAUAUUACUAGGGCUUCGAACCAGUCACUACAAGCUGAAGUGAUUAGUAGACUGUGAGACCCCCAAUCAUUACAAUACGUAUGUUAGGAUAAGGGAUUAUACUCCACCAACAUUGAUAAGGAGAGAGACCAUUCUGAGUGGGAAAUAGAAAGAAUGUGCAGGUGAGGUCCCACUGGGUAGAGAAAUUUGUAGGGUGAAGUAUAAAUAGAAUGAUAUGAGAAAUAGGGAUAGGUAUCUUUUUGGUUUAGUCUAAUCUUAAGUAAGGGAGGUCGGCCAAGCAGCCACGAUCAGGAGAGGGGUAUCCUUCUUGUGAAGGGUGCUGGUAAUGUUCUUCGUUGUUCAUUGUCAUCGAUUAGUUUUCAUUCCUUAUUGUAGCUGUAACUUUGGGCUAUAUAUAAUAAAUAAAGGAAAUUUGCACGUAUGGCUGCUGUCUAAACUGUAUAUUUUAAGCCAUAGUUGGGUAUUUUAUUAGAAGAGGGUGUUAGAAUCCUAACAUAGACAACCCUCAAACCUUAGAGGAGUGUAUCAAGGAGGCUCAACUCGUUGAAUGAUAAGAAUAUUUUAUGCCUUACAAUUAGCCAUAGGCAGAUUUCGGGGCAAAAGUGAGCUCAAAAGAAUGUGAGAGCAAUCCAUCAUUUCAUUAGGACUAUUAUUCGAAAGUAAACAAUGUAGGAAGAAUGAGCCAAAGAAAACGUUCAAGUGUUGUUCCAGUUCGAAAUAAAUAAUGUCAUUCCGGUCACUAAGUAGGUAUACCAAAAAAAUAGAUCUAAACCAGGUUAACGAGGCUAUCACUGUACACACGAGAUUUAGAGCAAAGGCUUGACAAAGAGUUGUGCUUCAGAUGUUAAUGAAAAAUGUGCAUUCAACCUCGGCCAUAAAAGCCUUUGAAGGUUUCACUAGAAUAAAAGUUAGAGUUGAUAACUUCUUGAUUUCGAUCUUUAGGAUAUUGUAGUUGCAAGUAGAGUUGAACGAGGAUCGGAUGGACUCCAUGCAGAGGUGAGGCAGAGGAAAUGAUAGAAGUUGUUAAUCUCCAGAUUGAUAUGAACUUUGACAUCUUGAGAGCUCGCUGAGGUUUGAAUCUUAAGAGCUUCAGUACAUGGGAGGUUCAAUUCUUUAUCCAACGAGAGACCCCUAUGAAAUUGAAAGGUCAUGGUCUCGAUUUAUAGAGAAAUUGGAUGGGCUUUAGGUGAACUUGGGCUCAUUUGAUUGCUACAGUUGGACUUGCGACAAAUUAAUUGUUGGGCUUGGACUUCAGUCCAUUUCAGAGUUGAGUUGGAAGAUCUGCCGAUCUAGUCAUUCGACUUGGCCAAGUACCCAAUUUUUUUGUUGGAUGUGAAUCCAGUUGGAGAUGAGUACACGUUGUGAAGGAAAGGGAAACACUGUAUAUGAGGGUAAAAUUGAUUGUGUUGAUAAGGAGUAAUUUAAUCGAUCAUAGCUGACUUCUUAGCAAUUGAAACCUUUUAGGGAAUUGUGGACGUUGGUAUGUUGGGUGAAUCGCGAAAACGAUAGGCUGGAAUAUCUGACUGGAACCAUGGAUUAGGUGCUAGUUAAUAGGCCAAUUCCCUCAUACUAUGACAUUCUGGACAAAAGUGUGAAGAAGAUGUAAUACGAAGUUUGGUCAAUUUAUAUGGUGGAUCACUUCAAGCUUCAUCUAAGGCAGAAAUGCUCGUUGAGGACCGCUAGACUGAAAAACAUGGCAGACGAAGGGAGCCAAGGAGUUCCUUUUAGAACUACAAAACUAUGAAAUCGAAAAUGGAGAUGGAUGAGUGAUCGACAGCAAAAAACCGAAGACAAAAAUGGAGAUAGAGAAAGAAUCUACUGCCAUGGUUCAAAGAUUUAACUGCAGAUACAGAUACGAUGGACUGCAGUAUUUGAAUCACCGCGAUGGAGUUUAACCUCCACAUAUCGAAGACCGAGUUGGAGAUCCGAUCGGCUAUAUUACAUCCAUGCUGGAGAUCCAAUCGACUGCGCCACAUCAACGUUCGACAAUGUAGAUGGACAUUGUACAAAAUGGAGCAAAUUGAAGAAGAAGUUGGUGAUAGAAGAUGCGUACAUGGCAGAUGGUGAUGUAGAUCGAGAUAACAGCCCUUACUCCAAGAUGCCGGUGGUUAUUAGUGCGGCACAUCAAAGAUGAUGACGACCACAUGGGGGUUGGAGAUUUUGAUGGCUGCGACUACCGCAGAGCUGCAAACCAUGGUAACAGUAUCAGAUCAAAUUCCCUAUCCCGAUAAUUGAAGAACUACUAGAUAAACUACAUGGUGGCAACUAUGAUUCAUCCAAGAUUAUGACUUUAAAAUCGAGGAUACACAUGAUGACAAAUGCAACGGAUGAAGGAGGAAGAUGGUGAUGACUGCAAUACAUGGACAUUUCGACACUCACGGAAGCGACACUACGAAGAUUCUUAUGGUUACUGCCACUUCGAAGCCUCAGACAAUGACCCCAGCAACACAUUCCAAUCUCUAAUGAAUCAGGUAUUCAAACCCUUUCUUAUGGAGAUGAUGAUUCUUGUAUUUUUUGCAGAUGGAUAUUCUUACGACUGCUACACGUCGAAGAUGCAUAUGAUAACGAUUGAGACAUGUCGAAGAUGCAUUUGGUGACAACUGCGUUUUUUCAAUACUGAAGGAUAAUGUAAUUAUUUGCAAAUCAGAGAUGAAAAUGAUGAUUAUAGCAACACCCCCAAGAUUCAGAUGAUAUUGAGGGCAACACCUAGGAUUUCUAGCCGAGGAUGUUGAAGUCUGCAUGAAGUAAAAGAAUUUGAAGCAUGAUUAAUUUUGGCCACAACACAAAAGACAUCAUCUGGCUGAAGAGGAUUUCUUUAGAAUAUAACACGUGUUAUUAUAUGAAAAUGAGUCCUCUCGGUGUAAGAUUUAUGAGAAGAGGAAUCAUCUCGGCAGCAACACAUUUAAAAGCUGAAGAUUACUUCAGAAGAAUGCAUUCAAAUGGAGAUGAGGAAGACAAACAUCAGUUCAUUUGCAGCAACCGAGAGAUUAUGCAGAUGACAACCAUAUCAGCUGCUAGCACUUGCCUGAAUUGGUCAUUGUCGUUUACUAUUGAGACUGAUGCUUCAGGAGUGGGAUUUCUUAGGAGUGGUAGCUGCUCAUCAAGGAGACAUCCUAUCGACCUUACUUCAAUCAGAAACUAUCAAGAGCCCAAUCUAAGUGCUACUGAUAUGAAAGGGAACUUGAUGCUGCCUACGUAUCGUUUUUAUCAGUGCAGAAAUGGAGGCACUACCUACUGGGAAGGAGAAUUCACUAUUAUUUCAGAUUCAGUGAUUAAGCUCUCAAAUUCUUGUGGACUAAGAGCAUCAUGCAAGGGAGGCUCUUGCGAUAAGGACCUUUACACAUUUCAGAAAUAGUUUCGAACAAAACUUCUUGGGCUUAUUGAUUUCGAGAUAUUGGUGAAUACAACCAGACUUGGCUUCAGAAUAAAGGGACCUGCUGAUGCUUCUUUCAAGGAAGGACUUCCAAACCGUGCGAAUUGAGACACAACUGACUAUCAACUCGGCAUUAUUUUCGUCAUGAAGUGAUUUGAGCUUAAUAGUUAGAAGGAAGUUGAGAUAUUGAUCACAAGUAACUCCAAGAGAUCAUAAGCAGAGGUUGAAAGGGGGUGGACCAGGGAUGUGGAAAUAUCAAUGGAUUAAUGAUAAGCUGCUGUAUGAAAGGAAGGAUAGUGUUAAUCACGACAUUCCUCCCUCAUUCCUAGGUUGUUGCACAACCUUCCCAUGACUCCAUACUAGGAGGUCAUUCCGAUUUCUUGAGACGAUCUUAGACAAAAGUGAUUAGUGGAGAAUUGUUUUGGAUAGGGAAUGAAAGCAGAUGAUGAAGAAGUGACGUGGAAGAAUGUGACAUAUGCCAACAAAACAAAUUCGAAGACUACCAAUACCAGCCAGAGUUGACAACCCAUUCCCAUUCCCGAGAGGAUAUUGGAAGAUUAUCGACAAUGGAUGUCUUAUGAGGACCUCAUCUUUUCCUUAGAUUGGCUUAGACUUAUACAUGUAAUUAUGGUGAACCAUUGUUUCCUGACCAGCUUCCUGUACCAUUGGGUCUGAUGCAAAUAACACUUCGAGUUUGACGAAAACCGAAGGUCUACACGAUUUACGAGUUUUGACUGUCCAUUUUUCGCAAUCAUUUGCAAUAGGCUGUUCUUGGAUUUGAUUUUCUCUUUGUCUCGAUCGUGGACUACAAUCGAACGUGUAGAGCUUCAAUAUGGCCGACACUAAACAAAGUUUUGGUAGUACUCACAACGUUAUGUCCCUUGCGGAACACUCUAAGUCAUCACAAUUACAACAUGAUUAGUCUGAGCUAAUGGAUCCAUAUCUAUUACGAUUGGCGUUUCAGGAGCCAAUUUUAUAUUUAGUUUGAGAAGUACUGAUAUGGAUGAUCAUAUGAUUGAAGAAUCCCCCAAAAGAUGCAAAGCAGAAGUAAGGAUCAUCGGCUUUCUGUGAUUGAUUCGCCCGUUUGUAUUCUGUCAGAUCAAGAAGUUGCUAAUCUGAGAGUGAGAUUAAUUGGAUUGGUUGAUCACUGUGAGGAUCUGGUUAAAGAACUUUCUGGAAUUUCUUUAAGGGAUUUUCUAUACCUCUAGGUAAAGAGCAAGUGCAUAGAAUGUUUGAAGUCUUGUAGUGCAAGAUUUUUUCGGGGUUGCAGGAACAACGAAAGACUGAGUUCUGUCACCAGCUGUAAUCUUUAUAGCGGCAUUAAGAAGAUCAUUGCCGAGCUUGGCUUGUUGAAUUAAAAAACCUUUUAGUCCUCUACGAGUGUUACUAAGUUCCAUAUCAAGUUCAACGAGUAGCAAAAUCGGCAAAUGUGUAUGAUUUUAUCCCCUGCAAAAUAUAGAGCUCUUACCAAUGAAUGCCUUGGGUGCACAUCUCGGCUAAAGACAUUUCUAUGAGCUUCUCUCUGCACUCCAGGCUUAGAGCUCUCCAUCAUUUAUGUAGUUGAUGCCUGGCUCACUCGAGUCCUAUUCGCUAUUUGUCAAAGCCAUCAUGCCGACGAUACGCUGUGUGCUGUAAAUUCGCUUCAGAAAGUCCCAGUCAAGUUGCUCCCAACUAUCAAUGGAUUCAUGUUCAAGAACAAUGAACCCUUCGAAGGCGUUACCUUUCAGAGUUCGAAUAGUACUGAUUCAUCGACAAAUCUCAGAGCCUAGUAGGAGAUUCACAUGUUUCAGUGAACUGAGCAACGUGUUGUCUUGGGUAAGCCAGGCCAUCAAACUGUUGAAACGUGAUUGGUCGGUAUCAAUUCGGCAUUAUAUAAGAAUAGUCAACGGUCUCAACAUGCUCAGAUAGCCUCCACAUGUGAUAUACCAGAGGCGUCAGUUACUAUUUCGGCAGAUGAGUUUGCUAAGUUUCAGAAUUACCAAGAGUCAUUACAAGCGUCAUCUUCCUCUACUCCGAUUGCAUCCACUGUUGCCCCAGGUAAUAUAAAGUAUCUUCUUACAUCAUCUACCAAAUGGGUCAUAGACUCUGGUGCCACAGCUCAUAUGACAGGUAAUUCUCACCUAUUUUCUAGACCGUUGUCCCCUGCCCCUUUUCCAUCGGUUACAUUGGCCGAUGGCUCCACAUCUUCUGUUCUUGGCUCUGGCACUAUUCACCUUACCCCAUCAUUUUCUCUCUCUUCUGUGUUACAUUUGCCUAACUUAUCCUUUAAUUUAAUUUCUACUAGUCAACUUACUCAUGACCUAAAUUGUGUUGUCAUGUUCUUUUCUGGUUAUUGCUUGUUUCAGGAUCGUGUGACGAAGAAGAUUAUUGGUAGAGGAUAUGAGUCAGGAGGCCUUUAUCUCUUUGAUCAUCAAGUAUCGCAAGCUGUGGCGUGUCCUGUCGUUCCCUCUCCUUUUGAAGUCCAUUGUCGUUUAGGUCAUCCAUCUUUGUUCGUGUUGAAGAAACUUUAUCCAGAAUUUAGGUCUUUGUCCUCUUUAAAUUGUGAUUCGUGUCAAUUUGCGAAAUUUCAUCGUCUUAGUUCGAGUCCUCGAGUCGAUAAACGAGCAAUUGCUCCAUUUGAGUUACUUCAUUCUGAUAUUUGGGGUCCGUGUCCAGUUGCAUCUCAAACGGGCUUUCGUUAUUUUGUUACUUUUGUUGACGAUCAUUCUCGUCUAACUUGGUUAUAUUUAAUGUCUCUACAGCUUGUUUUUUGAUUAAUAGAAUGCCUUCCUCUGUUCUUAAUGGUGAGAUUCCCUAUCGUGUUCUUUUUCCUACCAAGCAUUUGUUUCCUAUUGCUCCUAAGAUAUUUGGUUGUGUCUGUUUUGUUCGUGACGUUCGUCCUCAUCAUACUAAGUUAGAUCCCAAAUCCUUGAAGUGUAUCUUCUUGGGUUAUUCACGUGUUCAAAAGGGUUAUCGUUGUCAUUGUCCUACCCUUAAAAGGUAUCUGGUUUCGCCUGAUGUUGUCUUUUUUGAAGAUACACCCUUUACUUCAUCACCAUCGAGUUUGUGUCAGGGGGAGGAUGACAAUCUUUUUAUAUAUGAGGUUACCUCUCCCACACCAUCCUUGUCUACUGAUGUGCCUCCUUCCCGCCCGUUGAUUUCUCAAGUCUACUCCCGACGACCUCCACCACAACCUUCAGACUCAUGUCCUCCAUCAAUGCUUCCUUCAUCAUGUGAUCCAGCGCCAAGUGAUGAUCUUCCCAUUGCUCUUCGCAAAGGUAAACGCAAGUGUACUUACCUUGUUUCUUCCUUUAUUUCCUAUCACCAGUUAUCUCCCUCCACAUAUGCGUUUAUUACGUCUCUUGAGUCCACAUCUAUUCCUAACUCUGUUCAUGAAGCUUUGUCUCAUCCUCGCUGGCAAAAUGCAAUGAUUGAGGAGAUGCCAAAUCAGCAACUUGUUAAAGAAGGAGAAUUAUGUAAAGAUCCUGAGAGACAUAGGAGAUUAGUUGGGAAGUUGAACUACUUAACAGUGACUCGACCAGACAUUGCAUAUUCUGUAAGUGUUGUAAGUCAAUUCAUGUCUUCCCCUACAGUGGAUCAUUGGGCUGCAGUAGAGCAGAUUUUGUGUUAUCUAAAAGCUGCUCCUGGACGUGGGAUCCUAUACAAAGAUCAUGGACAUACGAGAGUUGAAUGUUUUUCUGAUGCUGAUUUGGCGGGGUCUCGUGAGGAUAGGAGAUCGACUUCUGGAUAUUGUGUUUUUGUAGGUGGAAACUUAGUUUCAUGGAAGAGUAAGAAACAAAAUGUUGUUUCUCGUUCGAGUGCUGAGUCAGAAUAUAGAGCUAUGGCACAAUCUGUGUGUGAAAUAGUAUGGAUUCACCAACUAUUAUCUGAGAUAGGCUUCAGUAUUACCGUGCCAGCUAAAUUAUGGUGUGAUAAUCAAGCUGCACUUCAUAUUGCAUCUAAUCCAGUAUUUCAUGAACGAACUAAACAUAUUGAGGUGGAUUGUCACUUCAUUCGUGAGAAAAUCCAAGAUGGGUUGGUGUCCACAGGAUAUGUGAAGACCGGAGAACAAUUGGGAGAUAUUCUAACUAAAGCUUUAAAUGGAACAAGGAUAAGCUAUCUGUGCAACAAGCUGGGCAUGAUCGACAUAUUUGCUCCAGCUUGAGGGGGAGUGUUAUGAUAUAUAUAUAUAUACAUAUGUCCUUUAUUGUAAUUUUACAUAGUCUCUAGGGUUGUUAAAUUUGGUAGUAUGGGGUUCCAUCUCAAAACCAAUUGGCAAUGAGAGGAGUAGCCCAUCUACCUUAUAUGGAGUACGAGUCCCCUUGGUUUUUCCAAUGUGGGACUCUCAACUUCUCCAACAGAUUUUAUAGAAGGACUACCCUUAGUUGGAGAUAUAAUGUAAUUAUGGUGGUAGUUGACCUUUUAAGUAAGUACUCCUACUUCCUAACUCUUAAACACCCAAAACAAGUGUCAGGAGACCUAUCUAAGGUGCUUCUGUAAUGAACAGCCGAGAAAAUGGGACAAGUCGAUUCCUUGGGCAAAGUUGUGGUACAACACCACCUUCCAUACGUCUACCAAAGUAACUCCUUUUCAAACUGUUUAUGGCAGACCCCCCCCCCCCCCCCCCCCCCGCCAUUAUUAUCGUAUGGGAUGAAUAAAUCUCCAAAUAAUGAGUUAGAAGCCAUGUUAAAAGAAAGAGACUUAGCAAUCAAUGCCUUGAACGAAAAUCUUUGUGCAGUCCAAAACCGAAUGAAAAAAAAUGGCAGAUCGGAAUCGGAGAGAAUUGAAGUUCAAGGUAGGGGAUGAAGUCUAUUUGAAACUAAGACCCUAUAGACAACGCUCAUUGGCUAGAAAGAAGUGUGAGAAACUAGCGCCAAAAUUUUAUGGGUCGUACAAGAUUACAGAGGAGAUUGGAGUUUUCCCUUCGAAGUUACCAGCAGAAGCUGUCAUUCACAAUGUGUUCCACAUUUCUCAACUGAAACUGAAACUCAGAAAACAUGUAGUCCAACGUCAACAACCUAUCCUAACUGAGGACUUCGAAUUGCAGUUGUGGCCAAAAACUGUGUUGGGAGUAUGCUGGAAUAAAGAGCUGAGUGGAAAUGAAUGACUAAUUAAAUGGAAAAAUCUACCAGAUAGAGAAGCCACGUGGGAAUCAGUCUAUCUGCUGAAUCAACAGUUUUCUAAUUUUCACCUUGAGGGCAUGGUAAACUUGGAACCAAGGGGUAUUGUAAGACCUCAAUCGUUCACACAUAUAAAAAGAGGAGCAGAAAGGUAAAUGAACAAACAAUUAAUGAUGAGAGAAUGUGUAAGGAUUCUACUUGAAUCACACAAUUGUUUGUUCAUUUACCUUUCUGCCCCUCCUUUUAUAUGUGUGAAUGAUUGGGGUCUUACAAUACCCCUAGGUUCUAACUCACCUUGUCCUCAAGGUGGAAGCUAGGGAACUGCUGAUUCAGUAGAUAUACUGAUUCCCAUGUUGCCUCACUAUCCGGUAGAUUCUUCCAUUUGACCAGCCAUUCAUUUCCACACGUCUCCUUGUUCCAUCAUACUCCCAACACAGUUUCCGGCCAUAAUUGUAAUUUGAAGUCCUCGGUUAAAUAUAGGCGGUUACUGUUGAACGACAUGUUGUUUUCCCAACUUCAGUUUCAAUUGGGAAAUGUGGAAAACAUUGUGAAUUACAGCUUCUGGUGGUAGUUUCAAACGAUACGUGACCUCCCCUAUCUCCUCAAUAAUCUCAUACAGCCCAUAAAAUUUCGAAGCUAGCUUCUCACAUUUCUUUUAAAUAAACUUCAUCACCAACUUUGAACUUGAGUUAUCUGCGAUUCUGAUCUACCAUUUUUUUCAUUCUGUUUUGGGCUGUACAGAGGUUUUCUUUCAAGGCAUUGAUUGCUAAAUCUCUUUCUUUUAACAUGGCUUCUACCUCAUUAUUUGAAGAUUUUUCAUCCCAUAAGAUAACAAUGGAGGGGAGGUGGAGGGUAUUAAUAUAAUUAGAUUAUUCUUAGGAGAUUAUUCUGGAGAUAUUAUUCUGGAGAUAUUAUUUGAUAUUAUUUCCUUAAGUGUAUUUCUCUAUGGUUAUAUAUAGGCUUGUAUCUCUAUUAAAUAAUCAAUGAAAGAUAGAUUAAUUCCAUAAAAUCAACAUGGUAUCAGAGCAAUAGGGUUUUAGUCUCCUUGUAUUCUAGCCGUCACAUUCCCGCUCGUCUGCCUCCGUUGAUUCGUCGACGGAGGCAGAGCCAUACCCAUCAUCAAUCAACACAUCAUGUCUCCAAGUAAUUCGCUCUGCCUCCUAGAUCAAAAUCUGCAUCUCUGAUUCUGCCGCCGCCGCCACUACUCCUUCCGCCAUCACUGCUCCUUCCAUCCACACAGUUCGUCGCACUCUCGACCCAUAUCCGCUCUCCAUUCGUCCUCACUUAGAUCUACUUGUGCGCACAUUGCAAGCACCAAUUUGUUCGUGCAUCUCUGUUCGUGUCUUCGACUUCCAGAUCCGUGUUUUAUUUCAUCUUUCGCCUUCGAAUCAUACUGUUCCAGAUCAGACCGACCUGCCGCCGCCGCCCUUUACUCGUACCAAACAAUCUCUUUCGAUUGAAGACUCCCGAUCCUGAAGAGGGUGAAUCUUUGUUCAGAUCCAUGAUCCACCGCUCCGCUCCACUCACAGCCGACGACGCACAGGUUCGGCUCUUGUCCGCUCUCCAUUUGUGAAGCUCGCCGUCAUGAAACGCAUCUUCUCUUUUUGCGAAGAACGCCGCAAAGCUCUCUAUCUACUCAACCUCUCAGCUCUCUUCAGUUUUCGUUCUGUUCACCCAGAUUUCCUGUUCAGUUUGAUUCUGACUUGCUUUAGUUUAGUUCGUUCAGUUCCAUUCUGAUGACGGAACGCUCCUGCCCAAUUCAGACCACGUUUUCAUCCUGAUUUGGUUCUACUUUGCUUCAGUUUUGCUCUUUCAUUUUGCCCCCGGAGUUCUUGUUUCGUUCUUCCUAGGUUCUGUUAUAGAUCUCUAUACGAGGAUCUAUGUUUCUAUCCCAGAAGUUCUUCGUUUCGCUCUUCGUGGGUUUGUUUUAGCCUAGAAGUUCUUUGUGUGUUUGUUCUUCGGGUUUUUAUUCUAUUCUAGAUAUAUUGUUUCUUUUCUUAGUUCUUAGCAAACUCAAGUUUGUGAUUUCAACCUUGAGUUUGAGGGAGGGUAUUAAUAUAAUUAGAUUAUUCUUAGGAGAUUAUUCUGGAGAUAUUAUUCUGAAGAUAUUAUUUGAUAUUAUUUCUUUAAGUGUAUUUCUCUAUGGUUAUAUAUAGGCUUGUAUCUCUAUUAAAUAAUCAAUGAAAGACAGAUUAAUUCCAUAAAAUCAACAGAGGGGAGGUCUGCCAUAAACAGUUUGGUAAGGAGUUGUUUUGGUGGACGCAUGGAAAGUGAUAUUAUACCAUAACUCUGCCCAAGGAAUUAGUUUAUCCCAUUUUCUUGCAUGCUCAUUGCAUAAACAUCUUAGAUAGGUCUCUAGGCACCUAUUUACUCUCUCGGUUUGUCCAUCAGUUUGCGGGUGACAUGUUGUGCUUCUUUUCAAAAGUGUGUCCAUGGUGGUGAAUAACUCUUUCCAGAAAUUGCUAAGAAAGAUCUUAACCCGAUCGGUAAUAAUGGACUUGGGAAUACCAUGUUUGCUGAUGGACUUGGGAAUACCAUGUUUGCUGACCACUCUUUCCAGAAAAAUGGAAGCCCAUUGCUUCGCUGUGUACGAGUGUUUAAGAGUUAAGAAGUAGGAAUACUUACUUAAACGGUCAACUACUACCAUAAUUACAUUACAUCCCUCGCUAAGGGUAGUCCCUCUAUGAAAUCCAUCCAAUCUUCCAAUAUCUUUUCAAGAAUGGGAAUGGGUUGUAGCACUCUGGUAGGAUUGGUAGCUUCGAAUUUGUUACGUUGGCAUAUGUCACACUCUUCCACAUAUUUCUUCACAUCUACCUUCAUUCUCUUCCAAAAUAGUUCUCCACUAAUCCUUUUGUAAGUUCUCAAGAAUCUGGAGUGUCCUCCUAGUAUGGAAUCAUGGAACGUGUGUAGUAGCCAAGGAAUGAGAGAGGAGUGUCGUGAUAGCACUACCCUUCAUUUAUAUAACAGCUCCUCAUUACUCCACUAGUACUUUCCUCCUUGGUUCACCCCUUUUUUAGCUCUACUAUAAUUAUCUGGAGUUCUUGAUCGUUCUCAACUUCCUUCUCUAUAAGUUCUACGUCAACAAUGCUCGUUGUCGUCAUUGUGUUCAACUCCACAGUUUGAUCUUUCCUUAAGAGUGCAUCAGCGGCUUUAUUCUGCAAACCCGGUUAGUAUAAUAUCUCGAAAUCAUACCUCAAGAGUUUAGUUAACCAUUUCUAGAAUGAGGUUGAACUUCCCUUUGUUCCAACCAGAAUUUCAGAGCUUUCUGAUCUAAAAUAAUAGUGAAUUUCCUCACCAGUAGGUAGUGCCUCCAUUUCUGCACUGAGAGAACAACUGCCAUGAGUUCCCGUUCAUAUAUGGACUUAACUUGAGCUCUUGAGGAAAGAGCUCAAGUUUCUGACUGAAGAAUGUUAUAGGGUGUCCUUGUGACAACAGCGCUCCUAAGCCUACUCCUGAAGUAUCAGUCUCAAUUGUAAAUGGAUGUGACCAAUCAGGCAGUGCUAACACUGGUAUGGUCAUCAUUGCUAAUUUCAGUUGUUCAAAAGUUGCUAUGGCUUCCUCAUUCCACUUGAACGCGUUCUUCUGAAUUAACUUAGUUAAGGGCGCGGCAAUCUCCCCAUAACUCUUCACAAACCUUCGAUAAUAUCCGGUCAGCCCUAGAAAUCCCCUCAGCCCAGUUAUGUCCUUCGGUUGUGGCCAAUUAAUCAUGCUUCGAGUCUUUUCCUCAUCAGCUUCGACUCCUCUACUGGAAAUCAUGUGCCUCAAAUACUGAACUUGGGAGUGGGCUAUUACACAUUUGUUUCUAUUUGCAAAUAGUUGAUCAUCCCUCAAUAUGGCAAAUACCAUCCCCAUAUGUUUCAUAUGCUCGUCUAUAUUAACACUAUAAACUAAAAUAUCAUUAAAAAAAGACAAGAACACAUCUUCUGAGGAAAGGUUUGAAUAUUUGGUUCAUCAAAGAUUGGAAGGUGGCCGGAGCAUUAGUGAGACCAAAAGGCAUCACUAAGAAUUCGUAGUGCCCUUCGUGCGUGCGAAAAGUUGUCUUCUCCACAUCUUCCCCCUUCAUUCUUAUCUGAUGAUAUCCAGAUUUAAGAUCUAAUUUAGAGAAUAAUGUCGCCCCAUGUAGUUCAUCUAGGAGUUCUUCAAUCACCGAAAUGGGGAAUUUGUCGGCCACGGUUACUUGAUUCAGUUUACGGUAGUCUACAUAGAAUCUCCAUCCAUAUCCUUCUUCUUCACCAAUAGUACUGGGCUAGAGUAAGGGCUGUGACUUGGCCGAAUCACCCCUGCUUGUAGCAUUUCUAUCACCAGUUUUUCAAUCUCUUCUUUUUGUACAUGUCCAUACUUAUAUGGUCGAACAUUGAUUGGUCUGUGAUCGGGUAAAGUCAAAAUGCAGUGGUCUACGGUUCUCUUGGGAGGUAAACCUAUUGGUAGCCUAAAUAUGUACGUGUAUUGAUUGAGUAAUUGUUGAACCAUGGGUAAUCCUUCAUCAUCUCCUUUUAACUCACUUUCUGUUUCAUAUUCCUCUUCCCAUUCAACUUCAUAAUUUUGCAAUUCUAAAAGAAAUCAUCGGUCGCCUGAUUGCCAUGUUUUUUCUAUGGUCCUCAACGAACAUUCUGACUUGAUGAGGGAAGGGUCCCCUCAGUGUUAUUCUUCUUCCUUUUUUCCAAAAUGUCAUGGUUAGGGAUGGUCAAUGCACCUUCAUGGUUCCUGUCGAAUCAAGUCAUUGCAUCCCUAAAAGUCUACAUUUCCCAGUUCCACCGCAAGAAGUCAGCUAUGACUGUUAACUCCUUCAAUUUCACUUUUACCCUCUUACAUAUUCCUUUUCCUUCGCAACGGGUGCUGUCUUCAAUGGUUACUCCAAAUUGGGUUCUUGGAUCAAUGCCCAACCGCAGUUCUUCCACCAACACUUGACUGAUAAAAUUAUUGGUCGCACUGCUAUCAAUAAGGAGUAUUACCUCUCUUCCAUUCAUUUGUCCUUUCAAUUUCAUAGUUCCUUUGGACGUAACUACCGUGAUCACCCUUAAUUCAAUCUCAGCAAUCUCAUUCAAAUCUAAUUGAUUCGGUUCUAUCACUUCCUCUACCUCAUCCUCUGUGGUCGCUUCCUUUUCGUUACUCUCUUCCUCAUUCAAUAUAAGUAGCAUCAACUCUCUUUUUUCUCUGACCUUGCAUUUAUGGCCGAGUGAAUAUUUUUCAUUACACCUGAAACACAGCCCUUUAUCAAGCUUCGCUGUGUCUGAAAGCCUAUUUACUGGAGGAUCAUUUUUUUGGUAACCCCUUUUACCGGAAUGGUUAUCUGUUUCAUGGCAAACUCUGCCGUCUUUUGUUCAACCUUCUCAUUCUUACCUUGAAUCUUGCCUGUGUUCUCACUUCUUUUGGGCUCAAUCCUACUCAAUUCAUCCAUAGCCAGUUGUAAGGCUAGAUUUCUAUCAUUCACCAGUUGAGCUUCCUUCAUACACUCCUCUAAAGUUCGAGGGUGUCUACUAAUCACUUAUGCUUGUAAUGCGGCUCGAGACCCGUCAAAACGCGUCCUGUAGUACACUUUCGGCCAUGUCAGGGAGUGGAGCUGAAUAUGUAACGAACUUCUUAACAAAAUCGCUAUAGGAUCCUUCUUGCUUGAUACGGAUCAGUCUUGCCCCUAAGCUAUGUUGUUCGGUGUCAUUGAAAAAAUCAAACAUCCUUCCUUUCAAGUCCUCCCAUGAUUCCACCCUCUUUCGGUGGUGGCUCCACCUAUACCAAUCUACUUCCUCUUGUCCAAAACUCACAACUGCUACCUUGACCUUCUUCGCUUCAAGUAAGUUAUUAAUCUCAAAGAAGUGUUCCGCCCGGUAAGCCUAGGAUUCGGGAUUCACCCUUGUAAACAUUGGCAUUUACAGCUUCUUGUAUUUACUUCGGUCCACGUUACCUCCACUAUUCUCUGCAGUCGUCUCUGUAUCCUCGAGCUUCUCUUUAAGUUUCAACAUCGGACCUUCAGCAGUCCUAGCCUCUUCUCUUCUUUUGUAACUGUGGUUUUCUCGCAGUUCAUCAGCCAUUCGAUCCAUCAACUUCUUCAUCUCCAGCAUCAUCUCCUUUAAACCCAUAAUUUCUUUUUCAGUCCCAUCUACCCGUUCCUCUAUUUGUUGCUGAGCAAUGAGGCGCAUGACCACCCCCAGUGUGGUGGCUCUAAUACCAAAUGUAAGGAUUCUACUUGACUCACACAAAUAUUACACCCUCACAAUGGCAAAACAGAGGCAACACUCAGUAAUCUUUAUUUAUAUAUAGGCUAAAACAGUUACACUAGUCACAAUAUCCAAAACAGUAAAGAACAUACCCAACUUCCUUUUGGGAUAGCUAAAUACCCUCUCCAGGCUAUGGCAGCCGCCUUGACAAAGGAUAAAAUAAAACCUACCUACCCAAUCCCUAAAAGACCUAUUUAUAUACCUCAUCUCAUCAUUCUUUCAUUUAUGUGCCUGGCCCCACUCGCACAAUCCCUUUCUAUCAUUCCGUCGUCAUUAAUUGUUUGUUCAUUUACCUUUCUGCCCCUCCUUUUAUAUGUGUGAAUGAUUGGGGUCUUACAGAAUGAUGGAAAGGGAUCGUGCGAGUGGGGCCCAUGCAUAGGAAUGAAAGAUUGAUGUAAGGAGGUAUAUAAAUAGAUCUUUCGAGAUUGGGUAGGUAGGUUUUAUUUUCUUUAUGUCAAGUCAACUGCCAUAGCCUGGGAGGAUAUUCAGUUAUCACAAAAGGAAGCUAGGUAUGUUCUUUACUGUUUAUCUUGUUAUUUUGGAUAUUGUGACUAGUGUAAUCUUUUGGCUUAUACAUAAAUAAAGUUUAGCAGAGUGUUGUCUCUGUUUUGCCAUUUUGUGUGUGGAAAUAUUUGUGUGUUUAGUAGAGUCGUUACAGAGUCAUGUAACAAAUUAUGAUUACACAGGGAUAGGUGAUGGCUAAGAUGCAUAUAAGGAUUUUCCUUUCAAGAAUAUCGAGGAAAGGAAUUCCAUAAGAACAAUAUAAUUUAAAGGUAUCAUUCCAAGCGUCUAAUUUAGGCUCUAAUCUAGCAGACUGACUAAGUUAUAAAUUAAAAGCGGUAAAGAGUUACGUGGAAACCUAAGUACUAGGAGAAAACCACAACCUAACUUUCUUAUUAUUAUCUCAUAUGAACAAAAGAUACAAAGGAGAAAAAAAAAAUAAACAAGUUUAAGAUAAAAAAGAAGAGAAUAUUAGGGUUAAUCUUUCCUUGGGCUUAAAGCCCAUUAAUUCUAACAUUAUAUAUCUAGUAUCAGGAAGACAGCGUACCUAUAACUUCUUCAACUUGAACAGGAAUAAAGUGGGCCUGUAAGAGGUUGAGAUGCAUACAUGCAAAUCAGUUACAGCUGAGAGUGACUAAAGAGGCAAUUGUUUUGUGAAGAAUAAUAAUGUUUACACUGUUAGGCUUCUUCAAGCAAUCAAAUCUUCUGCCAGCUUCUGAGAAUCUCAACCAACCCAUCACCAACCUAUAAAAAAGUGACUAUGUCAAGAUUCAGUUCUUAAAUUUCUUCCUCAAUGAAAAUGUCAAGAUUCAGUUCCUAAUUUUCUUCGACAAGGAAAACAGAUUGCAGCACUAAGAGGAUAUUUAACAGAAUCUAAUGGUAUAGAAAACCCUGACGUGGGUAUCAACCCACAAGGAAAACAGCUUCUGAGAAUAUGUUUUCCUCGAUACUUACCCAUUACCAACAGAAACCUGAGAAAAUACAAGUUUAAAUGUCAGAAACAGACAUAAACUAUAUGAUUAAAAGAAGAAUGCAAUUGAUCGGCAAGAGUAUCUUCCUAAUUCAACACCUAAUAGUGAUGCAAGACAACAAGAAACGAUUGUGCAUUUAUUUUAUCAAAGAACAGGCUUUUGUGGCACGCAGCCAACCCUGAAUACUAUACUGAGAUUGGAUCCCACAUGAACCAAUAUAAUCAUGGAGGAAAAGAAGAUAUGUAAAUUGGAGCCAAAGUAAAAUGAAGUGCAGCACCAACCACAUUCAGAUUAUGCCGGCUACAUUGCAAAAGAAUGCAGAUGUCGUUGAUUGCCCGGUCAACAACUGACUGAUCUGAAAAAUAUUCAUCAUUAUAUGAGGAAGUCAAUGUCAUUAAGCUCUGGUGUACAAUAACCAAGCAAAACAAGGAAAGGUUCAGAAAAUCUCCUGCCACGAACUUGAUGAAAUCAUAAAUUUGAAGGAUAUGUUGAAAUUCAAAUUUUCUGAACAGGCAUGCAAAUUAAUUGUUGUAAGAUGUUGCAUCUUAGAACAUAAUUGCGGGUUUGAUUACCUGUAAAUAUAGAGGGAUGCAUAUAAUAUAUAUCUCUCUUUGAGCUAUGUCUAUUUUCUCCCAGAAGCUGCUGAAUUAUGAGUAGAACUCUAAGCAAGACAUCUGAUAGAACAAAAUAAUAUCAAAUACAAGUGUACUCUAUAGUCUGUACAGAUUAUGAUUUUGUAGUAUCAUUCAUCGGAAUAACUAAUUCACCUAGUCUACGGACGUGGCUUUCCCUUUGAAGUGUUAGAACAUCCUUCCCUUCAGAUAAAUUGAACCUACAACAACUGCAUAAAAAAUUAGCGAAAAAUCAUCUAAACGUCUCUUUUGGUACAAAUAUCGUUUUCAAAACACAAGUCCAAUUUCAAGAUAGUGUCAUCUUCACAUUCAAGAACUAUAACUUUCUUGAAAAAUAAAAAUAUUAUGUCUAAAAACUAAAGAAUGACUGAAAACUAGGUCAUAAACAUAAAAUGCAUUUGAGUUAAGAAUUGAGAUUGAGCAGUGACUUUUGAAAAUGACAAAUCAUAGCUAAACUAUGCAACUCUGCUUCAAGUUCUAGAGAUAUAUUCGCAUCUGAAGUAACACUGAUUUUCUGCUGGUAUUUUGUGAGCGACUACUGAUUUGGCCUUCGACACGAUCCAAUAGACCCGGUAGUAGAUAAAUAAUCGAAAACUAUAGAAAUUUUUCGCACGAAUAGGGAAAUGAAUAUUCGUAGUCUAGUAAAGCACUUAAUAACAUUGUAGAUCAUGAACUUUAUUUGGUUACCAAUUCGAAGAUUCAAAAGAUUGGAAGCAAAAUAUUCUAUACAGAAAAUUACGAACCAGUUUUCAAGGGAAUUGGAGCAGUAACUUUUGAAUCGAUCGAUGGCGAUCAUCCUGGAGCUUCCAUUGCUCAGUUCGACGAUCAUAGAUCUCGUUAGCUCUGCAAAAGAUUGUAUUGGAAAACGGAAAGAAAAUAGCAACGACGAAACAGAAAUCAACUGGAAUGAAUAUGAGAAUCAGAAAAAUCAAUGGAAUUGCGACCUGUGAUUUUUCUCAUUACUUCAAUUCUCUCCAAGCUUCCUCGGUUUCCCUCCAUUUUUCUUCGAUGCGAUUGGUUUUGAAGUGGCCUGUGGGUGUACGCAUUAGUUUAGGGGGAAAAGAGUGAAAAAACUUGGGGAAUGGUCAAAAAUAGGCCAAACGUAGGCCAAAAAUGGGGUAAAAAAAGAGUUUUAGAAUUGGUAUUAAAAAAAGUUGAGAUUUAUGAUAAAUUUGGGGUGAAAUGACGAAAAUAUCCUUAUUUAAUUUCUCAUUUCCUCUUUUCUUCAACCUAAAAACAGAACAACGCUAAAAAAACGUAAACUUGAACCUCCCGCUUUUGAACUCAUUCGCUUAUACAGUUCCUUCAACUUGGUGCCUCUAGUGAACGUCUCUUCUCUUCCAUCCAUUUCUUCUCCACUUCCAUCCAUUUCUUCUCCACGACUCUCCACUCUUUUCUGAUUUCAAAUUUUUUACCGAACCUCUCCAUUUCUUCUCCACGGGUCUCUGUUUUAGUUUCGACUUCAACUCUGGUGAACGCUUCUCCACUCCUUUCCGAUUUCAGCUUUGUUUUCACCGGACCUCUCCAUUUCUUCCCCACUCCUCUCCGUUGGCAGUGUCGUAUCCAUCAUCUUUGAAGUCAAGUGAGUAAUAAAAUCUGAGUUUUUUUUUAUAAACCAUUUUUUUUAAGUUGUCUGUUGAAAUAUGAGUUUUUUGUUGGGCACAUUUUAGAUAUAUCAUUAAAUUUGUAGAGAAGAAAUGCAUAUGUCGUACAGGCACACACACAUAGAGAGUCGUAGGAACAUGAAUUCCGUUUAGAAUGCAUGUUUAACUAGUUUACAGAGCUUUAAUGGUUUAGGGUUAACAAUUUUAUUAGACUUGGCAAGUAAUAACCUUGAAUUUUUUAUCUCGCACCUACCAAAAUUUGAGUAAAAGUUUCAAGAGGAGAGUGCUACCCUUCCUAAACCGUUUAGAAUGCAUGUUUAGCUAGUUUACUGGGCUUUUAAGAGUUUAGGGUUAGCAAUUUUAUUAGACUUAGCAAGUAAUAGCCUUGAAUUUUUUAUCUCGCGCCUAUCUCACACCUACCAAAAUUUUAGUAGAAGUUUCAAGAUGAGAGUGCUACCCUUCCUAAACCGUUUAGAAUGCAUGUUUAGCUAGUUUACUGGGCUUUAAGAGUUUUAGCUAGUUUAUUGGGCUUUAAGAGUUUAGGGUUAGCAAUUUUAUUAGACUUAACAAGUAAUAGCCUUGAAUUUUUUAUCUCGCACCUACCAAAAUUUGAGUAGAAGUUUCAAGAUGAGAGUGUAUCCAUAUUUAAUAAGUCUCUUAUGCAAUUAUAUUUGAUUUGUUUAUUUUUUAUGCAGGCUUCAGUAUGACUUCGACAUCAACUGACGGUCUCAUGUAUAAGAUUGACCAUUCUCAUCAUUUUCAUGCUAUAGUAAGCAGUUUACAUCAUUUAGAAAAUAGUACGCGUAAUAUAAAGGCAAAAUUGAAACCGGAUCGAUUAACAUUUGAUAUUUGUCUUAUUGUCUUAUUGUAUUUCGGUCUAACAUAAAUACAUAUACAUGCAUGUGGACUUUUUUUCUUUCCAGCAAUUAUUAGUUGCGAAGUGGCAUGAAUACCAAUAAUGUAUUAAAGAGAAUCGACCAUUUCACUGGAAGGAGGAGUAUCGAUUGGUUGACUAUGUUGUCGGAUCAAAAGAAGACUUUCAAGAUCCUUGGGCGAAUGUUGAUUACAUUUACUCUUCAUUCAAUAUCCAUGGUAAUCAUUGGAUUCUAUUAUGCUUUGGACUUGGUCAGUUGUCAAGUUAAGCUUAUUUCUAUGAUGAAAGAUGCUUUUAUCCCCUCCCCAAAGAAUAUCAUUACUAUUUAUGUUUUAUUUCUGCUAACUAAUUCUUGCAUAGCAUCUGGUUUGAUAAUUAAAGUAAAGUUUCUGACAUGGAGGUUUUCAAGUUGUAAUAUGUAUUUAUGUUUUAGGUAGAUUCCCAAACUUUGAAGAAACGCUGCAGUACUAAGGUAAUUGAACGUUGUAAGGCAGAGCAUUGGGCUUACCAGAGCCAAGGUAUCUUCUUCGGUAACAAGUAAGGAUAGUCCUGAUACUACCUUUCUUUUGUUAUUGAAGUUUAUUGUUCCUUCUCUCUUGUUUGGUGGUUGUGCACCUAUAUUGAUUUGUACUUCUGUUAAUUAAUUAUAGUCCUUCUCUCUUGUUUGAGUAAUUAUUGUCUACCAUUGUGUCAGCAAAGGCUUCCCGUGGAAAUUUAGUUUGUUGUGUUGCAUGUCCAAGAUGAUUUUUGUGAUUUUAGUAUUAGAUACAUAAAAGGGAUUUUGCAUCACCACAUGAAUGACUAUUUCUAAAUAUGAACCUACAAUAACCCCAAAUGAAUACCGAAUUAAAUUGGAAACAAGGCAGAUAGAGAGUGAGAUGGAGAGUGUUUGUGUGUGCUUUAGAGUAGUUUUAAACACAUUUUUUUAGGUUUGUUUAAGACUAAGUUUGUUUCACUUGCAUAAGACUAAGUUUGUUUAAAGUGCAUUUUCACUCAUUUUGAACUUUUUGUUAGUUUGUGAGUUACGAACUUACACUUAAGCAUUGUUAGUUAAUUUCAAACAACAUUUUGUGUUUGUUUGGAACUAAGUUUAUUUAGACAUUUGAUUGACAUGUUGGGUCUCCAAGUGCUUUUUUCCACACUUUUUGAAAUUUUGGUAGGUUGUGAGUUACGAACUUACGCUCGAGUAUUGUUUGGUCCAUUUGAAAGCUUAUACACAUUUUGAACUCUUUUUAAGAUAACUUGAAACUAAGUUCAUUGCACUUACAUACUUCGUUGCCGUUUUGGGUCUUAAAGUACCUUUUUCACACUUUUUGAAAUUUUGGUAGGUUGUGAGUUACAAACUUACACUUAAGCAUUACUUGGUUGUUUUGAAAAUUCAAGUGAUACUUACACACGUUUUGAAUACAUUUUAGGUUAGAUUGAGUUUGUUGCACUUGGUUGUCAUUUUUGGUCUUGAAAUGCUUUUUUCAACCUUUUUGGUAGAUUAUGAGUUACGAACUUACACUUAGGAUUUGCUUGGUCGUUUUGAAAACUCAAGUAAUACAUAGGCACGUUUUGAGCACGUUUUAGGUUGGUUUGCAUUAAGUUUGUUUCACUUGCAUAAUUGGUUGUCAUUUUAGGUCUCAAAGUGCAUUUUCACUCAUUUUGAACUUUUUGUUAGUUUGUGAGUUACGAACUUACACUUAAGCAUUGUUAGUUAAUUUCAAACAACAUUUUGUGUUUGUUUGGAACUAAGUUUGUUUAGACAUUUGAUUGACAUGUUGGGUCUCCAAGUGCUUUUUUCCACACUUUUUGAAAUUUUGGUAGGUUGUGAGUUACGAACUUACGCUCGAGUAUUGUUUGGUCCAUUUGAAAGCUUAUACACAUUUUGAACUCUUUUUAAGAUAACUUGAAACUAAGUUCAUUGCACUUACAUACUUCGUUGCCGUUUUGGGUCUUAAAGUACCUUUUUCACACUUUUUGAAAUUUUGGUAGGUUGUGAGUUACAAACUUACACUUAAGCAUUACUUGGUUGUUUUGAAAAUUCAAGUGAUACUUACACACGUUUUGAAUACAUUUUAGGUUAGAUUGAGUUUGUUGCACUUGGUUGUCAUUUUUGGUCUUGAAAUGCUUUUUUCAACCUUUUUGGUAGAUUAUGAGUUACGAACUUACACUUAGGAUUUGCUUGGUCGUUUUGAAAACUCAAGUAAUACAUAGGCACGUUUUGAGCACGUUUUAGGUUGGUUUGCAUUAAGUUUGUUUCACUUGCAUAAUUGGUUGUCAUUUUAGGUCUCAAAGUGCAUUUUCACUCAUUUUGAACUUUUUGUUAGUUUGUGAGUUACGAACUUACACUUAAGCAUUGUUAGUUAAUUUCAAACAACAUUUUGUGUUUGUUUGGAACUAAGUUUGUUUAGACAUUUGAUUGACAUGUUGGGUCUCCAAGUGCUUUUUUCCACACUUUUUGAAAUUUUGGUAGGUUGUGAGUUACGAACUUACGCUCGAGUAUUGUUUGGUCCAUUUGAAAGCUUAUACACAUUUUGAACUCUUUUUAAGAUAACUUGAAACUAAGUUCAUUGCACUUACAUACUUCGUUGCCGUUUUGGGUCUUAAAGUACCUUUUUCACACUUUUUGAAAUUUUGGUAGGUUGUGAGUUACAAACUUACACUUAAGCAUUACUUGGUUGUUUUGAAAAUUCAAGUGAUACUUACACACGUUUUGAAUACAUUUUAGGUUAGAUUGAGUUUGUUGCACUUGGUUGUCAUUUUUGGUCUUGAAAUGCUUUUUUCAACCUUUUUGGUAGAUUAUGAGUUACGAACUUACACUUAGGAUUUGCUUGGUCGUUUUGAAAACUCAAGUAAUACAUAGGCACGUUUUGAGCACGUUUUAGGUUGGUUUGCAUUAAGUUUGUUUCACUUGCAUAAUUGGUUGUCAUUUUAGGUCUCAAAGUGCAUUUUCACUCAUUUUGAACUUUUUGUUAGUUUGUGAGUUACGAACUUACACUUAAGCAUUGUUAGUUAAUUUCAAACAACAUUUUGUGUUUGUUUGGAACUAAGUUUGUUUAGACAUUUGAUUGACAUGUUGGGUCUCCAAGUGCUUUUUUCCACACUUUUUGAAAUUUUGGUAGGUUGUGAGUUACGAACUUACGCUCGAGUAUUGUUUGGUCCAUUUGAAAGCUUAUACACAUUUUGAACUCUUUUUAAGAUAACUUGAAACUAAGUUCAUUGCACUUACAUACUUCGUUGCCGUUUUGGGUCUUAAAGUACCUUUUUCACACUUUUUGAAAUUUUGGUAGGUUGUGAGUUACAAACUUACACUUAAGCAUUACUUGGUUGUUUUGAAAAUUCAAGUGAUACUUACACACGUUUUGAAUACAUUUUAGGUUAGAUUGAGUUUGUUGCACUUGGUUGUCAUUUUUGGUCUUGAAAUGCUUUUUUCAACCUUUUUGGUAGAUUAUGAGUUACGAACUUACACUUAGGAUUUGCUUGGUCGUUUUGAAAACUCAAGUAAUACAUAGGCACGUUUUGAGCACGUUUUAGGUUGGUUUGCAUUAAGUUUGUUUCACUUGCAUAAUUGGUUGUCAUUUUAGGUCUCAAAGUGCAUUUUCACUCAUUUUGAACUUUUUGUUAGUUUGUGAGUUACGAACUUACACUUAAGCAUUGUUAGUUAAUUUCAAACAACAUUUUGUGUUUGUUUGGAACUAAGUUUGUUUAGACAUUUGAUUGACAUGUUGGGUCUCCAAGUGCUUUUUUCCACACUUUUUGAAAUUUUGGUAGGUUGUGAGUUACGAACUUACGCUCGAGUAUUGUUUGGUCCAUUUGAAAGCUUAUACACAUUUUGAACUCUUUUUAAGAUAACUUGAAACUAAGUUCAUUGCACUUACAUACUUCGUUGCCGUUUUGGGUCUUGAAGUACCUUUUUCACACUUUUUGAAAUUUUGGUAGGUUGUGAGUUACAAACUUACACUUAAGCAUUACUUGGUUGUUUUGAAAAUUCAAGUGAUACUUACACACGUUUUGAUUACAUUUUAGGUUAGAUUGAGUUUGUUGCACUUGGUUGUCAUUUUUGGUCUUGAAAUGCUUUUUUCAACCUUUUUGGUAGAUUAUGAGUUACGAACUUACACUUAGGAUUUGCUUGGUCGUUUUGAAAACUCAAGUAAUACAUAGGCACGUUUUGAGCACGUUUUAGGUUGGUUUGCAUUAAGUUUGUUGCACUUACACACUUGGUUGCCAUUUUGGGUCUUGUAGUGCUUUUUUUACAAUAUUUGAACUUUUUUCGUAGGUUAUGAGUUACGAACCUACACGUAAGCUUUUUUAGGUCGUUUUGAAAGUUCAAGUGAUACUUAGACACGUUUUGAACUCGUUUUAGGUUGGUUUGAAACUAAGUUUUAAACACAUUUGAUUGACAUGUUGGGUCUUGAAGUACUUUUUUCACACUUUUUGAAAUUUUGGUAGGUUGUGAGUUACAAACUUACACUUAAGCAUUGCUUGGUCAUUUGAAAAUUCAAGUGAUACUUACACACGUUUUGAAUUCAUUUUAGGUUAGAUUGAGUUUGUUGCACUUACACACUUGGUUCUCAUUUUUGGUCUCGAAAUGCUUUUUUCAACCUUUUUGGUAGAUUAUGAGUUACGAACUUACACUUAGGAUUUGCUUGGUCGUUUUGAAAACUCAAGUAAUACAUAGGCACGUUUUGAGCACGUUUUAGGUUGGUUUGCAUUAAGUUUGUUGCACUUACACACUUGGUUGCCAUUUUGGGUCUUGUAGUGCUUUUUUUACAAUAUUUGAACUUUUUUCGUAGGUUAUGAGUUACGAACCUACACGUAAGCUUUUUUAGGUUGUUUUGAAAGUUCAAGUGAUACUUAGACACGUUUUGAACUCGUUUUAGGUUGGUUUGAAACUAAGUUUUAAACACAUUUGAUUGACAUGUUGGGUCUUGAAGUACUUUUUUCACACUUUUUGAAAUUUUGGUAGGUUGUGAGUUACAAACUUACACUUAAGCAUUGCUUGGUCGUUUGAAAAUUCAAGUGAUACUUACACACGUUUUGAAUUCAUUUUAGGUUAGAUUGAGUUUGUUGCACUUACACACUUGGUUGUCAUUUUUGGUCUCGAAAUGCUUUUUUCAACCUUUUUGGUAGAUUAUGAGUUACGAACUUACACUUAGGAUUUGCUUGGGCGUUUUGAAAUCUCAAGUAAUACAUGGACACGUUUUGAGCACGUUUUAGGUUGGUUUGCACUAAGUUUGUUGCACUUACACACUUGGUUGCCAUUUUGGGUCUUGUAGUGCUUUUUUCACAAUAUUUGAACUUUUUUCGUAGGUUAUGAGUUACGAACCUACACGUAAGCUUUUUUAGGUCGUUUUGAAAGUUCAAGUGAUACUUAGACAUGUUUUGAACUCGUUUUAGGUUGGUUUGAAACUAAGUUUCAAACACAUUUGAUUGACAUGUUGGGUCUUGAAGUACUUUUUACGUGUUAUUGUGGCUUCGGUCGAGAGUGAAGAGUUUCCAAUCAGAGUUUCCUACCAAAACACUUUCUAAGAUUAAAGUAACUGAACAACUUCUGUAAUUCUGCUCUCCAGAAAAUACAGCCCCUCCACUUCCAGAAACUGAUUAACCAACCCCCAUCUUUCCUUCCAUCUCUCCCUUUUAACCUCCCCCUGUAACUAACUGUUGUCCCCACUAAGGUGGUUUCCACUCCCUCCAAUUCCAUCACCUGUGCACGUGCAAUUCCACUUGUCUUUCUUCUGCUAUAUUGUAUUGCAAUUGGUGGUCUAUCAUUACUCUCCCUCUCCAAAGACACCUUGUUCUCAAGGUGGGAAAUGAGGAAGCUUUUGUGUAAAAUCAUCACAAUUCUCCCAUGUAGCCUCAUGAGGUGGUAUUCCUUUCCAACUAACAAGCACUUCCCACUUCUUUGUUGCUGGAUUUUUAGGAUAGCCAAAAUUGUCUCUAGUAACUCUUGAAAUGUAGGAACAUCAUCAAUUCCAUAUAGUUCGGUAAAUGUCAUUCCUCCCUCCAUAGCUCGACAUUUUGUCAAGAAACCGUAAUCAGAUGGUGUCCAUGUCUCCAUCAUGUGUUACAGACUCACUCUAGUCUUUGUCAAACUCGGGUCACCCCUUAUAACAACAUUCUUUUCAUUUUGUAUGAAAGUUAAAGUGAGUUUCCGCCAAUCCACUUCAGUUACCCCAACGUGUGCAGCCAUUGCAUUCCAAGGAUGACAUCACGAUAGAACACUGAUGUAGUGUUUCUAUUAUAUUGACAAUUCAAACACAACUUACAACAUAAGCAAACCGUGAACCUCAGAAAAUGAGUCACGUUACAUAUAAUUCACAAACAUCAAACAAAGAAAACCUCCUAAUCCAAAAUUCCAAACAACAAAAUACUAAUAAGCAAACCAGAAUAUAGAACACCAAUCUUCUGCUUCCCCUGUCUUUCAAGGAGUAUUGCAGACCUUUUCCUUCACUCCGCAAACUCACUUUAACAAAGAGGCAGCCACAUUCUCAGGUACAGAAAAUAAAGUAGGUAGUAUGUAGGAAGGCUAACCAGAACUGAGUUGCAUAAGGUUUGUCUUUCGCCUCUAGAGAUGUUAUAUCUUUUCCACCUUUCAAGUUUCUUGUGAAUUCGAUCAAUGACUGGUUGCCAAAAAGACUUUUGUCGAGGGUAGCCUCUCAAAGGGAGACCUAAAUAUAUAAUCGGAAGCUGGAAUAAAAAAAGAAGAGUAUCAUCGACAAAUUGAAGCAAAGGGAGGUGGAUCAAGUCUUUGCCAACAAGGAAACCUUCAAACUGGCUGUUAAUAUGAAGCUUGUUUAUGAUUUCUCCUAAAACCUCACUUACUAGGAGGAAUAAAAAGGGGGAGAGGGGGUCCCCUUGACGGAUACCUCUAGAUGUUGUUAUCCGACCUCUAGGCUUACCAUUGAUGAAGACUGAAUACUUUGGAUUUUUUAGGCAGCCCAUUAUCCAUGAUAUCCAUUUGGAACUAAACUUUUUCAAAGAUAAAUUUUUUUUCUAAAAAGUUCCAAUUCACCCUAUCAAAGGCUUUUUCCAAGUCAAGUUUUAAAAUCCAUCCUUUUUUCCGUUUUGCCCUAUAAUCUUCCACGGCCUCGUUAGCAAUUAAUAUUGGGUUAAGAAUUUGCCUACCUUCAAUAAAGGCGCUUUGAGUGGGGCUUAUAAUUGCAUCCAUAACUUGUUUUAGACGUUCAGAUAAAACCUUUGCAACAACCUUGUAUGCUAACGUAGUAAGGCUGAUUGGACGGAAAUCCUUGACUAGAGUCACAUUCUCUUUUUUCUGCACUAAACAAAUGAAGUUUUCUUGGAUGCAAGCAUUUAAUCUUCCAUUUAUGUGGAAAUCAUACAUUAGUGAUUUGAAGAUAUCCUUGAAAAUAGACCAUUGGGUGAUUAGGAACUUCACUAUGAAGCCAUCCGGGCCCGGAGCUUUAUUGUUGCCAAGUGCCUUUAAUGCCUUAAAGAUCUCCUCCACUGAAAAUUGGGUAACAAGAGCCUCAUUCUGAAUUGAGGAAACACAAGACCAAUUACUGUUAAUAGGGAUGAAUCUGUCCCCCGGAAUUCUGGUAUAAAGUGACUCAAAAAAUUCCAGCACAAGCCUUUCAAUGUCGCGGAAUGAAGUCGAGACAACCCCAUCAUCAUUUUUUAAUUCAGUUAUGAGGUUCCUUCUUUUUUUCGCAUUUAAAAACCGGUGGAAGAAGCUCGUAUUCUCAUCACCCAAAGAAAGCCAAUUGAGUUUACUCUUCUGAAUAAAAUUACGCUCUUCGUUUUGAUAAAUACUAAGUAAUUCCGCUUGCAAAGCAGCUCUAGAAUUCAACUCUUCUUGAUUUAAUCCAAUCAACUCAGCCACAGAAUCAUAUUUUUCUAAUUUUGACAUCAAGGAUUUCUCUGUUUUUUUUUUACCUUAGCUUGCGCAGCAAUAUUCCAAGCUUUUACUGCCAAUUUAACUGAUCUCAACUGCUCAUGAAGAAUGAAACCAACCCAUCCCUGGAAGUUAGAGUUGCUCACUAUUUCAACAAUAAUCUGAUUAGAAUCACUGGACACCAACCAGCUGUUACAAAACCGAAAAGGAGAGGGACCCCAAAGAAAAGAACUAGCCUCCAAGAAUAAAGGAAAGUAUCCGAGAAGAUGCGUGCUUUUCGAGAAACCCGAGAAUUUUCAAAACAAACAUCCCACGUCUGAUUUAUGAAGAAUCUGUCUAAUAAUGAUCUUCAACGAGAAUUACCGUCUCUAGACCAAGUGAACCUUCCAUUUUGCAAUGGAAUUUCCAUGAGAGAAACCAUGUCAAUAAACUUAUUGAAUAAUGACAUUCCUCUAGUACUUCUGCCAAAAGGAAAUCUUUCCCGGCCCCAACGAGUGAUAUUAAAAUCCCCACCUAUGCACCAGGCCACGACCGAACAAUCAGCCAAGGAAGACAAUUCGGGCCAAACCAAUUUCCUUUCUCUGCAACCACAAGGGCCAUAGACAUUUGUGAUCCAACAAACCUUUUUGCACAAAGUGAGGCAUUUGAUUGACAAAGAGAGGCGUCUUUUAAUGACCUCUGUUACAGAUAUUUUACUGCUAUCCCACAUGGUAAGAAUUCCCCCAGAAGAUCCAACAGAAGCCACAUAAUCCCAGCCAAUAUCCUUAGAACUCCACAAUGAUUUUAUAAAAGCCGAGUUCAAGGUGUCCUUAGAUUCUUGAAUCAUGACUACAAUUGUUGAUGAAUUUUUUAAGUGCUGCACGUUUAGAUGAGUUGUAAUAUGCAUUAUGCAUAUAUGUGGUUCUGAGUUUGUAUAAAUAUUAUUUCUUAUAGUGUAUUUAGUUUCUUUAAAAUAUUAAUAAUAAUAAAUAUAAAAAACAGUUUCUUUUACGAAAUUUUAUACACUGUCCAACUUUUUACUGAAUCAAACUCCAAAAAUAUUGAAUCCAAAAAUAAUUAAAGAAAUUGUAAUGUAUAACCAAAUAACUUGUAUAUUUUGUGAAUACAACAUAGUUCUGAUUUUUUUUUAUCUUUCACUUUUUUUUUGUGGUGAAAAAUUGUUUUAUAAAGGAUUAGGACUUUAGUGAAAUAACUCUCAAAUUCCCUAAUGGAUAGCCAGUUUUAAUACUCCUAACGUAUGCAACUUUAGUGGAAUCUGGAUGGAUAUUAUUGGAAUAACUCCUAACGUCAAAUAAAAAGCCUACAUCAUAAACUUCUUUUUAAAGGAACAUGACUCUUUUAAUGGAUAAACAAGUCCUCUGGACGGGGUCCAUAUGAGAAAAGAAUUCUAGAAAGUUUGUUAUCAAUGAUCUUUGUCAAUAUUCUUCCUUUGCAAAAUGAACCAAAAAUCUUUGCAAUAUUCUUCGUACCUCCUACUCAUCCUCUAGACUUGUUUAUCCAUUGAACAAAAACAAAGGCUCCAUAAGAUAGGGUAUUUUUGGGAUAUUGCCUACAAUCAAGCGAAAAUCUUCUAUAUAUUUUUUUGUGCCCAACUCUUCUAUCUUAGAUUUUUAUCUUUCUAUAUAUUCUCAUUUACAAAGAUCAAGCCUAGGUCUUGAACUUUUUCCAUAAGAAGUGGAAUCCUCUAUUGAGGUGCUGAGAACGAUAAUGUACGAGUCAGUCCGUGAAAAACUCACAACUGCUACGUGGGCUUCUUCAUCCUAAUCGAAUUUGCGGAAAUUCCAUCAUCUAUCCCAUGAAAGGGAAAUAGAAUUGAUUAUGUAUAAUAAUGAGUUACUUUGAAAGGAGUGCAAAAGAAAGGCAGAGGAGAAAAGGCGAGACCAAAAGCUUUACCGUCUUCUUUUGGAGCAGGAAGCCUCAUUCCUUCUUAUUUCCUUUUAUUCAUUCCCAGUUUCAGCUCUUCUUGCUAAGGAUGGAUCACUCUUUCAUUCAUGAGGUAAUUAGAUAAGUGGCUUAAAAGGAGAAAUAAUAGUCGAAAUACCGUAGGUAUUAGCUCAAAUUCAGAAAUGCAAGGUUUUGACUCCCUCGCUCCUAUGCCUUCCUAUGCCUUUCAUCCUAAAGUUUCUGAAACUUCCUUUUAUUUCCAGGUAGACUUUUGAGAGCAGGAAGACAACUAAUCAUGCUGGUUGGAGUCUCCAACGAGUAUCUGGAUCUCCCCUCCUCCUCAAACCUUUUUUCUUAAAUGCGCUUCUCACGCAUAUUGAAUUGUGCCUCUUGGCACUACCCAUAAUGAUCCUUCUCAUUAUUUAAGUGCAUUUGAACUUCUAAGUCGAUCUCUUGUGAUAAAUGGACAUGAUACCUUCUUACAGAAAGACAAUUGUACCAGUUUGUAAUUAGGUUCUGCGUUGAAGACCUUAUUUGUAAAGCUCUCUAGAAAAUAGAUGAAAACGAAGUGAAAGAAUUUCAUUUUGAUGCUUCACUCAAUUUUUUGAGGUUGAAAAAGAACUGAAGGGGUACGAUCGACCCACGGGGUGUGGCUCAUGGUGGUUAAGCUAGUGGCUAUCUCAUUGCUUAUGAGAAUUUCACAUUCAUACUCUUCAGAAAGGUUUUCUCGUAUUUGGCAUCCAACCUGAAUGACAUCUAGAAUGGUUAAUAAUUUCUUCAUGCCUUGCUUAGCUUCUUCCUGAUUCCCAAACUAACGACACAAAGGCAAGGAAAAGAGGUUCAAAGAAUAUUGAUAGUCGCGGCAAAGGUUGAGGUCUCAAGAAUCUUCCCCUAAUCUCAUCUACUCUAUGGUUGUCCUAUAUUCAUGUAUAUCAAGAAAAGCUAAAAGAUAGACACCCAUUCACUUGUCUUAGUGUACAUAAAGUCAAAUUAUUCGAUCUGACAUUCUUCCAUUUCCUAAAGUCCUAAAAACAAGGUGCGUGCAGACGCGAGGUUCUAAUUGAUCAGUAGUUGAAGGAGAGAAAGUAGCUUAUUUCUAAGAAAUUCUUAUUACUAUGGUAUGAUGAACAAGUAAGAAGGAGGGAAGGAAAAAGUCCCAACAAAAGGAACCUACGACAAGGAAGGAAAGCCUAUUACCCACAAGAGUGCAGAAUCAAGGAAAAGUUACGGGUACGAGCUCUCUUUCAUUCGUCGAACUCAAGCAAUCUCCGUUUUACACCUCUACUAAACUGAAUUAAUUGGCUUUUCCAAACUAGUAAAAAGACUAGAAACCUUGGACCUAUGGCUAUCCAACCAGGUCUUUCCACAUAAAGGGGAAAGAGGUAGAAAGGAAUAGCGAAGAUCAGUUAAAGAUCAAGAGGCAUCAAAAUGAAAUUCUCCUUAUAUCUUUUCUUUCGAGAUGAUUAACUUCCUUAUUUUUAUAUCUUGAGUCUAUCUUCUUCUUUCUUUAUGUAAGACCCAAACUUUGGGUAGUGUAGUCUUUUUCAAAGAGUUUAAGAGGUUUGAAAGAAGGAAAGUUUUUGGUUCAAUAUCAAAGAAUAGUACUUUUUAGGCGUAUUGGGUUGACUUGGCAAAAUGGUUUUAGAGGUUAGGGUUUAGGGUUUUGAGUGUUUAAGGUUGGCAAGAAAGAAGGAUUAAAGAGGUUAGGUGUUUUAGCUAACUUCAGAAAGGAGUUUCUCACAACUCGGAAAAUUACACUCAAUCUAGACUUGAAAAUUCAUAAUUUGAGUCUAGUUUAUUGAAGAAGGUUGCUGGGCGUUUUGGAUAUGAGAAAGUUGACGUUUGGACAAAAGAAGGCAAAAGGGUCAGUUUGCGAGUGAAUCUGAGCAAGCUACACUCUUAGAACGCUACAGAACGCAUCGUUUGGCGUUUUCUUCCCUCAAAAUUUCAGGAAAAAUUUUUUAGGGAAGAAAACACAUUUAGAGAAACUUUGUAGAAGAAAGUUUUGUCAAAAGAGUUAUGGAUUUUAAGUUAUAACUUUUCUAAGUUGGGUUAUGUAGUUUGGGCGAGAAACUAGGUGAGAUGACCUUGGAAGUUAACUAUGCGUUUUGGACAACUAUGUGGCAUGAUAAGGGCAAGCGGUUUAAGGUUUUAGUGAGGUGUAAAACCUUGUUAGCAUGCAUUUUAAGGUGUAAAGUAAGUAGGAGGUUCCUUAAGAAGGUUUAAGGUGAAUUUAAGCAAGGAUGAGGUGUCAGCUUGUACUCAUGCAAUGAACUCUAUAAAUAGGCCAAAUUUAGUAUUAAGUUUCUCACAAUCCACUCGAGUGUUUUGAGUGAAAUUAGUCUUAAAAGUUUUCAUUUUGAGUCUAUUUUCUAAGUUGGGGUUUUUGAUUUAAUUUGAGUAACGGAGAGUUGCGUUUUGGCGGUAGAAAGCAAGAAAGGUCAGAAUACAGGUGGUUCUGAACAAUGUGAACUUCCAGAGGGCUGUAGAGUACAUCCGUUGGAAUCUGAAGUUGAAAAUUUUAGGUAUGAAUAACAAGACGUUUUUCAACAACUUUGUAGAAGGAUAUAUGUUUAUUUGAGUUCUGGAUUUUAAGUUCUAAAGCUCUUCCUAAUUAUGGUUGAUUAAUCAUUGAUGUCCUUAAAAGUAGAAACGUGACAUAUCAUGUAUGCCCUUAAGUAUCUCAAGCUUGUGUAGGCCAAGUUCAAAAAAGAAAAUCAAUUAUGUUUAAUAAGGAAGAAAUAAAAUAUAACUUGUACAAAUAUUCUGAAAAUCAAAUGAAUAAAUGGAGUAAACACAAACUACAAUUAUAAACAUCCAGAAGGGUCAAAUGUCUACGAAUAGACUAAUGAGAUUCAAAAAUACCAGUCAUGCUUGCAUAACUGACUGAAAAAAAAUGUAAUGUUUCCAAAAGAUGCCGCAUAUCUCAAGUCCAUUAUAAGAAAACCUAAUGUUCUUCAGUUUGUAGUAUCAACAAUGCAUGAGUAGUGUUAAACAUGUUAUUUCAUUUAGUUUGCGAACUAGUAUGACCUUCCUCUAUUCUCAUUCAUUCAUCAUCGAUCAAACAAAGUUCAAGAAAUUUGAUCACAAAAGCUCUUUCAAACAAAAAAAUAAAAAUAAAAACAAACAAAUAAUUCAAAAAAAUUAAUUAUACCAAACAAGGAAUAAUUAACUAAACAAAAUGUAAGGGAUGAAUCUUAAGAAAACAAAUUACUAAAACCAUAUCUGAUACAAAUUUAGGGGGUUUUUUUGUCUAUCAAAUAAACCAAUAAAACAAUGAACUUCAAGAAUUAAAAUUCACAAAAAUAAUUCAAUAAAAGAAUGGCAAAAAACCUCAAUAUCACAAAAUUAAUAAGACGGAAUAGAUGCAUUCUACAAACUUGUUUUAUUGCAUGCUCACCACCCCUUCCAAAAUUUAUUUGAUAAAAAUUUAGUAAACUUAAAACACAGACAAUAACAAAAUUGUUGCAAACCUGCAUUUACUGGUCAAUGUCUUUAAAUAAGCAUUCUCUGACGUCAAUUCUUGAUUUUUAACUUCAUAAGCAUCCACCUAACCAUGAGACAAUUAUGAGAAUAUUUUAUUUAACCACUAACAAUCAUGCUCAUGCACAAACAUUUAAAAUAGAGGUUUUAACAUACUAUCCUUUUAUAGAAAUCGUUAUCAGUUUUCUUGCCAUUCCAAGUUCCACGUCGUCACCCCUCUUUCUGUUCAUAUCAUACAUUACAAAAGCCAGUAAAUGAAAGGAAUGAUCCAUUAUGGGUAAAAUAUUGAUAAAUAACUAAAAUAUACUUGUAGCAAAUUCAUUAUCUCCGUUCCUGAUAUAGAUGCUUUCUUUUUCUCCAUUAAGACUUGACUUGGUUUAGACAUACAAAAACUCCUAUAUAACCUGAAUCCAACUUGAGCCUAGAACCGAAAAAUAACUAAAAGGUAUCUCACACACAAUUUGAUGUACUCCUUUUCUUUCUUCUUCACCUCAGGUAUUUGUUGAGUUCCUACUUGCUUUGCACACAAACAGAAAACAACAUUAGUACUAAAAUUAUUACAUAGAAACUAGUAUCUAUCUCACAGCAUCCAACUACCAUAACCUGAUUGCCAAUAACCCUUCUCUGGAGUUCAACAUUUUCCUACUGUAGCUUGUCAAUUUGAGCUUUAAAAGCAGCCUUACCUUUGGCUUCCUGUGGAAAAGAACUUCCUUGUUCAAUGUUAAAUAGAGAGAAAUCAUAGAAUUUAGACAAGUCUCGAGAUUGUACUAUUCGUGUAACUGUUGCAAUCUCCCUAUCUUUAACUUGUACUACCGACUUUAGCCUCUCAACUUUGGUCUCCAACCUUGCUAUAUCUUAAUGUAGCCUGCCACAAGAAAAUAAAGGUGACUGAAUACACGGAACCAUGGUUGUGUGAAGGAAUAUUAAAAAGCUUUGCAACAUUAUUACCCUGAAAUGAACUACAUUUAUUCCAUAUCUUAAACCAAUCUCCCACAACAAGAAAUGAACCAAAAUUAGAAACAGCAGCUCUUUCAACACUACCGAAAGACAUAAUCUCACGAAGACACUUGGCAAUAAAAUCGAAUCUUUAACGCAUCACCAUUCUCAUCAAAUGUUAAACAAAUCUCCUCUUAAUUCCAAUUAUUUGAUAAGCGAGAAACAAAAUAGAUCAUUAAGUAACACAAAUUCACGAAAAAUCAAACAUAAUAGAUCGUUAAAUUGAAAUGUGACGGUAGACUUGACUAAGCCUGAUCCUCUUAGCUCAGAAGACAAGGACGGGUCGUGUUAUGAGAAAUGUCAAGGUAGACUUAACUAAAACUUAACUAAGCAUGGAUAACAGAGUAAUUUUUCUUUCCAUUCCAACAAAUGCAAAAUGAAACUCAAAACAAUCUCACAUAAUACAAAUAAAAAAUUCUUCCAUUAUCUUCUUCAGAACACAAGCAUCUCUAAUCUCCACCACCGACAAAGACCCAAGACAUUAAAAUUAAGAACAUAUAGAAUCAAAAGCAACACAAAAGACCAAAGAGAGAGAGAAAAAGAUGGUUAAGAUCAAAACCAUAAUGAUAGAACAAUCAACAACAAACUAAUGUCAUAUCUCAUCAAAUUUUUCAAAAAAAUAAAUAAAAGAAAACAAGUAAGAAUCAGACAAGCCAACAUACCAUGUCUAUUUUUGCAUUUGAAUUUUUCCUACCUCUGUUAAGUUCCAAACAUGUUUUCGAGUCAUUGGAAAUUACUUUUUAUGUUACAAAAUCACUUUUAAAAGUAUAGACACAAACGAACGUUAAUAUGCCAUGAAAAUCACUUUUAACAAAACAUUUAUUAGUAAAAAUCAAUUUUGUUAACUAGUUUCUAAAAACACUCUCAAAUAUGUCUUCCAUAACCUGGUUUAAGUUUUCAAGAAAAAUGACUAAUGGGCCAGGAUACUCAUGCCAUGGAGUGGCAAAAAAGAGGUUGAGCUUUGUAUUUUAAGUAUCAUGUUGAUGAAGACAUGUAAAAGGUCUUAUGAUACAUAUAAGUUGAGAAAACAAGUAAUAAAAGAGAAAUAUUUGAGUGUAUCAAGAAAGCACCAAUACAUAUAGAAGCUUAAGCUAAUGGAUAAGAGAGUAAAUUUAACAUAACAUCCAACACUCUUUCUCAUUUGUGAGUUUGAAAUAUGAAAAGUAGAGCCACGCUAAGUGAGAAUGUAAGUGCGUAUAUUCAUGAAAUAAGAUGUUAGCUCGUAAGACAUUGAUUUGAAGUAAAUAAGAUAUAGCAAUAUAAGAAUAGAUACGUUGUGGUACGUUAUACCAACACAUAGAUUUUAACUGUUAAAUCAAAAAAGAAAAAAACAAAAACAAAAACAAAAACAAACAAUAAAAGGCAUUAUUAAGGCGUAGUUAAAGUUUUGGUAAUUAACAUUUUUAAGCAAAGCUAGAUGGACUCACUGGCUACAAGAAAUAGACAAUAAUUUGGAUAAAGGCAAGGCAAGGAAGGGAUCUCGAGUGAUAGAAAAAGAGACGAAUGGUGACAAUAAGGGUACCAUAAAAGUAAUGGAAAUUUUUAAUUGGACAAACCAUUCAACGUAAUUCCCCCCCACGGUAACUUGGUCCAUAAAU
This 40105-nucleotide long non-coding RNA is filed under the name Cucumis sativus (cucumber). Its description in RNAcentral is "long non-coding RNA (CSAT_LNC003214)". The record is from RNAcentral. Lineage: Eukaryota; Viridiplantae; Streptophyta; Magnoliopsida; Cucurbitales; Cucurbitaceae.